CUUACAUUUUCUAAAUCUUACAAAUUUAUUAUGAAAUUGCCUUGGAUUUACAUUUCUGUUAAGGCUGUUUCAUAGAUUUAUUUGUAUUUGGACCACAGAGGGAUCUUGCAUGUGCAUGAAACUGUUGUAUUUUAGAGGGCCUUUACUCUUGAGAAAAGCAUUAAUUUUUUGGAAAGGAGGCUUUGAAUCUAGGUGCUGAGGAGUGGACCCAUUGCUGUGGUUAUGAGAGGCAUGCCUUCACCUACCUCAUGCAUGCUAGGCAAGGGCUCUACCUCUGAGCCACAACCCCAGCCCUAAUGGUUAUCUUUUAAUGCCAGAACAGCAGUGUCUACCUAAUAAAUGUUAGUCUUUGUAGAAGUUAGCUUAAGUUUACAUUGUCUUGUUCUGUAAUCAUGUGAAAGAUCUGAUUUAUUUUAAAAUGUAAUUCAGGAUAAUCAUUUUUUGCAAAAUUUGCCCUAAACUCAGUAGGGUUUUGUAACUGCC
This 483-nucleotide long non-coding RNA is filed under the name Marmota monax (woodchuck). The record is from RNAcentral. Lineage: Eukaryota; Metazoa; Chordata; Mammalia; Rodentia; Sciuridae.